ACAGGCAAAGACCGUGACAGCCACAUGACUGAUAGUGCUUAUCAUGCAAAGAAGUACAGAGUUUAGCCAGAUGACAAUAGCCAUUCUCCAAAAAAGGUAUUUCACUCCUCCCAUAUUUAACAACAAUGAGUAAAUUAUCAAGCUGAAAUUUUACAAGUGCUGGAUUGUGGUGAUUUCUUAAAGAGGUGAAGUUAAAACUUGGAAUGUAUUUCUACAGACUGUGUUUCCUUGACUGGUUGCUCUUAAACCAGCUUCAUACAUCAUUCUGAUGAACCAGUGGGGUUAAAAAUAGAGUUCUGCACCCUCUACUUGCUGCAAAUUUACAGACUAUUUGUAUUGGUGAAAAGUAAAUCCACUGAAAUCUAAAUUCAACAUACAGGGCUAAAAAUAACUCAAAGUGUAUUUCUGCUCAAAUAGGCAAUUAAAAUUGGCAGAAAAACAAGACAAUCAUCUCCAAAAAUGCAUUAACUCUAGCAAUUCUGAAUGGUCAUACAUUCUAACAUGUGAAGGCUUACACCACUCAUCUUCCCAAGACAAGAAGGCAGCAUUCUCGAACAUACUUAUACUAUAAACAGUGGGAUUCUGUAUACCAUUAUCUCAGUCAAGGCCUGCAGAAAUUUAGACUUUUGAUGAGAGACUCAGAUGUUACCCAAGAUAAAUUGAUUUUUCAGGAAAAAAAAAUGUAUAAACUGACUUAGCACAUCCAUGGACAGGCAACAGUUUUUUUCACUUGGAUCCCAGAUGCCCUGACAAAUAAGAAAGAAUUUUGGGAAAAGGAAUGCUUCCUUAAACUUAUUAUGUAUGUAUGUAUGUAUUGUCUUUUUAGGGCUGCACCUGCAGCACAUGGAGGUUCCCAGGCUAGGUGUCUAAUCAGAACUGUAGCCACUGGCCUACACUACAGCCACAGCCAGAUCCGAGCCAUAUCUGCGACCUAUCUACAGCCUACACCAAAGCUCACAGCAACGCCGGAUCUGUAACCCAUUGAGCAAGACCACGCCAGAUCCGAGUCACAUCUGCGACCUAUCUGCAACCUACACCAAAGCUCACAGCAAUGUCGGAUCUGUAACCCACUGAGCGAGGCCAGGGAUUGAACCCACAACCUCAUGGCUCCUAGUCAGAUUUGUUUCCACUGUGCCACGAUGGAAACUCCCUUAAAAAUAUUUUAUUUAUUUAAUUUUUUUUGGUCUUUUCAUCUUUUCUAGGGCUGCACCCACGGCAUAUGGAGGUUCCCAGGAUGGGGGUCUAAUUGGAGCUGUAGCUGCCAGCCACAGCCAGAGCCAUAGCAACGCAGGAUCCAAGCCACGUAUGUGACUUAUACCACAGCUCAUGGCAAUGCCGGAUCCUUAACCCACUGAGUAAGGCCAGGGAUCGAACACACAACCUCACCGUUCCUAGGCGGAUUCCUUAACCACUGAGCCAUGACGGGAACUCCUAAACUUAUUUUAAUAUGUGUUUCUCUACUUUAAAAUUUUACUGUCAUACUUGUGGUUGCCAAGGGGGAGGGGGAAGAAGUGGGAUGGAUCUGGAGCUUGGGGUUAGCAGCUACAAACUAUUACAUUUCAAGUGGAUAAGCGAUGAGGUCCUACUAUACAGCACAGGGAACUAUAUCCAACCACUUGUGAUAGAACAUGAUGGACAAUAAUAUGAGAAGAAGAAAUUGAUUCAAAACUGUUAAUCAAAUAUGCCAUAAUAAAAAAUAAAUUUAAUUUUAAAAAGUAUACUGUCAUAAACUAUAAAACUUUCAUUGAGUUCCUUACUUAGAUUCAUGGACAAUUCUUUGGGAAUAGAUCAGAUUCAUGAUUUAAAAUUUUUAAAUUAUAUUCUACCUCUAUCUUUUUGUGAGAGAGCUGGAAAUUGCAACCAACACAAUCUUUAUUUAAUAGCAAAUGCCCAUUUGAUGUAUGAGGGCAACGGUUGAAUUUCUCUAGUCAACAAUAUAAAUCUUGGCUUUUAUUUUCAGACACAAAGGCUGUACUAAAAGCCCAAAUACAGGAGUUUGGGUAUUUAGAUGUUUCCUUUACAUCUAGCAGGGAAAAAAGUUUCAUUAGGGCAACCUUUGACUUCAGAGAACUGAGAGAAAAAGGCUCAUUCAGACAUUCUUUAUCAAAACUUCUGUCACAGAAAUGUGUUAAAGAAACUUUCUAAGCCUUAACUAAAGACAUUAGGAAUUGACUCAAUUAGAGGCAAUGAAUCUAGGCCUAGACUCACAGGUAAUUCAUCUAAGGCCUAGUUUUGGCAAAAUAUUUAAGUAGGAGUGUUCUUCGUUUUCAGUAGGAAGGCAACUUAACAUCAUAGAAACAGCACUGACAUUGACAUUUGCUAUGGACAGAUUUGUCUGUCCUCCAAAUUCAUGUGUUAAUGCUCUAACCUAAAAUGGGGUGGUAUUUGGAGAUAGAAUCACUGGGGGUAAUCUGUAUGAGGGUGGAGCCCUCAAGAUAGGAUUGGUGCCAUUAUAAGUAGGGGCACAGAUCUCUCCUCCCCUCCCUACCCAUCCCGUUCCCUCCCCUCCCCUCCCCUCUUCAUCUCACUCCUCCUCUUCUUUUUCUCCUCUCUCUCAGUCCACCCCACCCCUCUCUCCCCAGCCCCAUGAGGACACAGCAAAAAAUUUGCAAGCCAGGAAGAUCCUCACCAAGAAUCAAAUUGCCUGUCACCUUGAUAUUGGGCUUUCCAGCCUCCAGAACUGUAAGAAAUAAAUGCCUGUGGUUUAAGGUAUACAGUUUAUGCUAUUUUGUUCCAGAAACUUGGAUGAACUAAUGUGGUGUUGGGCCCCAAAACAUUUCAAUUCAAAUUCCAUCUAGGCUUCUUACUAGCUGCAUGAUCUUGCACAAGUUGCUUCUUCUCUCUGAACCUUAAUUUCCUCAUCAUUGAAAUGGAACAAGUGUUUUUCUAUGUUUAAAUUAAAGCAUGUAUGAAACAAAUUAGCAAAAUACUUGUGCAUACCAGUUGAUCAGUAAAUUUUAGUUUUCUUCCCUUGCUUAGCAUCUUCAACCUCUCUCAUUAUACCUCCAUUCAGAAGACUCCUCCUCUACUUUUAUUCAUUCUGUCUUUAUUCAGGAGACAGUACAAUCAAUUGCCAAUGGCAUAACAGUUAUUAGUAGAUUUAUAUGUUAUAUAUUCCAGAUACAUAUUUACUUUUGAACAGUAGCCUCUGAAACAAUGAUUAAAAUACAAGCAAUGAUGGUCAUUUGAAAUAUAGGUCAGCUUUAAAAUAUCUGAGGGGAGGGGUAGUUGGACCACUGUACAUCUCAUAGGUUUUACCAUGUGCAUAAUGGCUCCAUUGCAAAUGUGUGGAGAAAAGCCAUUGAGGCCAAAACAUAAAACAGUCAUUAUAAUCAUUUAUGUUUAUUACCUAAGUUGGACUUAAGAACAACCAAACUUAGGUGGAAAUCUAUAUAUAUAUAUAUGUGUGUGUGUGUAUAUAUCUCUGUAUGUGUGUGCGUGUGUGUGUGUAUAUAUAUCCUCUCUUAAACAUGACAAAAGUACUUCCUUUAUAAAAUACAUAUGGACACUACUGUGUUCUAUAAGGCCUUAUAGGAAUUUACCUUGACAAUAUCUUUGACUCAUGCUCACCGAACUCCAGCUACUGAUCUUCUGGUUGCCCUUUAAGCACACCUGGCUCAUUCACUUUUAGGGCCUCCACACUUAUUCUUUCCCAAGGGCUUUUCUUGCCUUCCACAUUUUUAUUAUGCUCUUUUCUUUCCUUCUUUCCUUCCUUCCUCCCUCCCUUUCUUCCUUCUUUCCACAAAUAUUCAAAAUGUUCCCAACAUGUGCCAGGCACUAUCACAAAUCUCUGAGUUUAUGGAGCUUACUUUCCAGUGGUAAUAAGCAAUAAUCAUAUAAGUAAACUAUAUAAUAUUUUAUAAGAUGAUGCAUGCUAUGCAAACAAAAUCAGGUUAAAGCAAUGAAAGGUGGAGGGUUACAAUUUUAAUCGCUAGAAAGGUGAUAUAAGCAAAGACUCAACAGAGAUGAGAAAAUAGCCAGUCAGGUCUCUGAAGAAAGAUCAUUCCAGGCGGGGGUAUCAGCCAGCACAAAAGUUGGAGGUUGAAACAUAAUGAGUAAAGGAAGUAAGAUAGGCGAUGAGAGAUAAUUGGGAGACAUGGGGAUUAGUGUAAGGUUUAGAACAGAGAAUUGAUGUGAUGAUUCACCACUUUAAAGAAUCAACCUACAUGUUGUGAUCAGAAUAGAUCAGUUUCUCAACUUUGGAAUGAUUGAUAUUUGGAAUGGAUAAUUAUUUGUUGGGGGUUGUCCUGUGCAUUGUAGAACACUUAGAAGCAUCUCUGGCCUCUACUCACUAGCUAUCAGUAGGAAAAAACCCUAGUUGUGAAAACCAAAAGUAUCUAAGAUAUUGUCAGUUGUUCAGGGGUGGAGGAAAAAUUAUCCCUAGUUAAGAAGCACCACUGUAGGGAAAAAGGGUGGCAGCUUAAAUGUCACCUCUGAAAAGAAGCCCUCCUUGAUUGCCCAAUUUAAAGCAGCAACCCAGGCACCUAUCAUCCCAUCAUCCUGAUUUGUUUCUUUACAGCCUAUCUCCUACUCUGAGAAAUUAUCCUGGCCAUUUACCUAUUUAUUGAUCAUCUUUCCUUGCCUAAUGGUAAUAUAAGCUCCACAAGAUUUAAGGACCUCAUCUGCAUUAUUCACUGCUCUGUUACCCAGUGUCUUGAAAAAGUCUUUGCUGGGAAUCUCCGUUUAAACCACUUGAGAUUUUAUAUUAUUUUUCCAUUGCCUAAGCAAGCCAUGUAUAUAAACUCUUUGACAAAUUUGGAAUGCUCUGAUUCUAUAUUGAAGAUGGAAAGAGAUGCAAACUGCAUUUUGAGGGCUCAUGAAAGAGUAGCAAACAAAUUUGGAGCAAAAUUUCCUGCUUGCAAUGGGAAUAGGGAGGAAGAAGGUAGCAAAGUUCUCUUGGGAUGACUCUUUGACAAGUCUCGUUCACAUUUUUACCUUCUCAAUUUUUUUUUUAUUCAAUCAUAUUCUAUGGAGAGUCUCUUUGGGUACCUGGGUAAUAUUCUGAGUAACAUUUCACAUUCUAUUCUAUAUUGAAAUAGCUUGCAAACUUUGUGUUCACCUUACCUUUCCUAGAUCAAAGCUAAACGCAGAGUUCAAAAUAGUAAGGCUGGAGGCAAGAUGCCUGAAGCAGAAAACUCUAUGUUAAAGAAGCAUUCAGGAGUUCCUGCUGUGGUGCAAUAGGAUCAGUAGUGGCUUGAGAGUGCUAGGAUGCUGGUUUGACCCCCCAGCCUGAUACAAUAGGUUAAGGAACUGGUGUUACAGCAGCUGCAGCUUAGGUCUCGACUUUGGUUCAGAUGUGGUCCCUGGCCCAGGAACUCCAUAUACUGCAAGGCAG
Molecule: long non-coding RNA, 5335 nt
Filed under: Sus scrofa (pig)
Lineage: Eukaryota; Metazoa; Chordata; Mammalia; Artiodactyla; Suidae
Description: lncRNA (ENSSSCG00000057905.1)
Source: RNAcentral